RNAcentral lists this long non-coding RNA (722 nucleotides) under Ananas comosus (pineapple). RNAcentral describes it as "long non-coding RNA (ACOM_LNC035437)". The record is from RNAcentral. Lineage: Eukaryota; Viridiplantae; Streptophyta; Magnoliopsida; Poales; Bromeliaceae.
UUUUUUUUUUUGAUUGGAAUAGAUGAAUCUCUGUCGUAUUUUUGGCACUAACUAUUAAUCCCAAAAGAUCGAGUUGUUAGAAAUAUACAAUCUAUUCACAUAAAGUGUACAGACACAAUGCCCAUGGAUCUCGAUUAUAAUUCAGCUCAACCAUGCGCGCUCACGCUAUUUCGAACAUAACUCGGCCCUACGCGGCCUCCUGUAUUUCUUUUUUCGAUUGGAAGAGAUGAAGUAUGUUGUUCAAUACUCUGUAGGAUUGUUAGCGUUAACUAUUAAUCCAAAAAGAUCGAGCUGUUAGAAAUACAUAAUCAAUUCACUUAAAAUAUAUAAAUACAACAUUCAUAGAUUUUGAUUAUAACUUGGCUCAAAAAGACUCACGCAACUUUAAACAUAAUUCGGCCCAAUCUGGCAUUUUGCCUUUUUUUUUUUUUCUUUUUCGAUUGGAAGAGAUUAAAGUGUUUUGUCCAAUGCUCUGUUGGAUCAUUAAUGGUCGCUAUUAAUUAAUCUCAAAAGCUCAAGCUAUUAGAUAUACGCAACUAAUUCACUUCGAACCUACAACCUCUUACUCUAAUACCACUUGUUUGAUCGUUGGCACAAUCAUUAAUCUAAAAGCUCGAGCUGUUAGAAAUAUAUAAGAACUAAUGCCUUAUUAUGAUGCCCAUUGCCUCGUUAGAAGCAAUCAAUUUAAAAGUAAAAUCCCAAAAGCAAAAAAAUAUAAAAAA